Long non-coding RNA from Polyodon spathula (Mississippi paddlefish), 541 nucleotides. RefSeq lists it as uncharacterized. The transcript has 2 exons. The record is from RefSeq and is a predicted model, not a curated record. Lineage: Eukaryota; Metazoa; Chordata; Actinopteri; Acipenseriformes; Polyodontidae.
CCGCCCAUGUACUUCCUCCUGCAUGCAAGAUUACUAGCUAGGGACAGUAACCGAGUAGCGCAGGAGUUUGUGUUUGAUGCGAGUGAGACAGUGUAACGGGACCGGCGUGAGUUUACUGCACAUUACGGGUAACCCCGCUAGGCUGGUAACUGUACUGCUCGCCGCUUCCACGACAGGUAACGGAGGGAACAUAUCGUGACACACAGCAGGAAGAUCGAGAGAAUACAGUAACGCAGGGGACAGAGGAGGAAAAAAGUACAGAAGCGAGGUUGAAAGUGGGGUGGACCAGCACUGCUCUGCAUUGCCUUACAGCAACGACGCGCCACCUCAAACACUUCCCACGUUUCCAGGUCCUUAAAUAAAAUAACUUGAGCGCCACGUGUUGUAAGGGGAGACGAGUCCAUAGCACAGAGAAGUCUUGAAACUAACGCGCUCUCAAGUGGAUGCUCCACGCUGAACAGGGAGGGCGUGCUGGUAGUUCAAAGGAAAGGAGAUUUCCACUAGGAAGCUAAAGCCCGUGCAUUCGUAAACAGCUUUAAAA